UUGGUGAUUUAAAUAUGCACGCGGUCCACAUCUUUAAUAGGACCUUUUUAUCUUAUUUUCCACGUUUGUUUAUUUCAACUACACAGAUAAACUGUGGCUGUAAUUAGCGUGUUUUAAGAUUGUGGUUUGUCUGUCACGGCCACGCGUGAACACAUGUCGCAGACAGAGCAACAGCAUCAUACAUACAACGUCAAAUUUCUUGACGCGAGCAUUGCGUGAUGGGACAUCAGAACGACAGCUGAUGGCGACUCGCUUCGACUUUGAGAUCCGUUUUGCCGACGCAACUUCUGUUGCCUUUAUACUUUAGCAUGUUGUCAGAUAUCAUCAGCAGGACAAUUAAACCAUCUUGCAGUAGCCUCAAGAUCCAUGUGUCCGCUUCAUCUCCCGUGGUCUCUAUCCGCACAAGCCUCUGUGAAUGGGUGGAAGGCCCCAGCAGGCAGUGUUUUGGCCGCCUCCAUGUUUCCUGUGCCUCCUGGGGCUGGGUGAGUCUGCCUGUUCUCUGGGUGGAUGGAAAGAUGAAGCCGUCCCUCACUGCACAGCACUGGGGUCCAGAUUGCUAUACUGGGACAGUCUGGAGGUGGGCUAUGGCACUCCAAUUCAUCUCCCGCUGUAGCUCACCGAAGAGAGCGCCUAGUGCCCACUUCUCAUCUGUGGGAGCGCUCAGGAAGAUGGAUUGGUUGGCCGGACGAUCAGAGGAGGCAAAGCGUGUGGCUAAGAGCCUAUGUAGCACGUGGCUGCUCUCAUAUGCAAGUUUGAUGAAAGACAUUUACAAACGGAGUCUGGGGAGCUUCUGUAUCAGAUGUCUCAGAGUGGCCUACACUUUAGAGAUGGCAAAAGUAUGAAACGGACACACGCAGGUAAUGGCAAUUCAUCACCUGGUUUAUACUUUUAUGACUUAAUAUCUGAAAUACUUUGCAAUAUUACAAUUAUUAAAAAGCCACCACUGAAUGCCAAUGCAGAGAUGUAUAUGAUGCUUUAAAGCCUGCGUUUCACCUUGCGUAAACCAGUACUCAUAAUUACAUGGGCAUGUCCAGAAAGGCAGACUAAAUUACACAGAUAUAAGAUGAGGUGCUAUCAGUAAUAUUCUUAUGAUGUUCCUAUUAAUCAGCUUGGCUGGUUUUUAUCACAGCCCGCCCUGCCCACCACUGGCCAGGCAAUAAUCAGAAAUACAUAAAGAAUUUCUAGUAGAGCCGAGACCCCGGCUUUGUCUUAUUAUGGAAUAAACCUUGUGGAAAAUAUCGGUUCAUCCCCAGAAGCGCCUACAAAUUGGUCCUGCGCGACACGCUCGGAAUUUCUGCCGCAUUCCAUGACCUAAAACAAAAAUGACAUGAACAUUGACAAAUUUGACAAAGAAAUUUGCACAAAAAACAACCUCUAUUUGGUCAGCCAAGCAGCAAAUAUGUCGGAUGAUAUGCUUUAUUAAGCAAUCCAUUUUUCAGCAAUAGCUGUGCCAUCUGCAAAGGUUAGCGUGCAUCAGGCUACAGAAAUUUCAUCUGCCUCUGUGGGCCUCGGCGAACACUCCGGCACAUUUUUCAUGUACAUACAAUUUUGGAUGCAAAUAGAAUACUUGAUGAAAGGGAUGACCUUCUGAAGUGACUCCUUGGCAGUAAGGUAGGACAGAACAGGCAGAAGGAACCGAAUGAGUUACUGCCCUGGCUGAUCCAGCAGCACUGUAAUAUAUGACUACUGUUCACACACAGACUGAAAGCUCACCCCACCGCCACACACCCUGCUACAUCUCGUUUUGCUGUCCUGCCUUUAAAAACUUGGCCGAACUUGGAGGUGGUAUUCUUAAAAAUGGCCUUAAAAAUUAUUAUAUGUUCUUGACUGUUUAUAGACAAAAAUUCUGUCACCCUUACGCAUUGUACAUUUUAGCCAAAGGGUAUAUUAAAAAAGUAACUACC
Misgurnus anguillicaudatus (oriental weatherfish) is the source of this 1904-nucleotide non-coding RNA. Lineage: Eukaryota; Metazoa; Chordata; Actinopteri; Cypriniformes; Cobitidae. The record is from RefSeq and is a predicted model, not a curated record.